This 71-nucleotide small RNA is filed under the name Pristionchus pacificus. RNAcentral describes it as "Nematode sRNA ceN72-3_ceN74-2". It matches the Rfam family "Nematode sRNA ceN72-3_ceN74-2". Lineage: Eukaryota; Metazoa; Nematoda; Chromadorea; Rhabditida; Neodiplogasteridae. The record is from Rfam by way of RNAcentral.
AGUCGAGGUCCGGAGCUUAUGGGUUAUCAAAUCCUAUUGACCCCUUCCCAUAGGCGCUCACUCGACCUGAC